Molecule: long non-coding RNA, 742 nt
Organism: Bombus terrestris (buff-tailed bumblebee)
Lineage: Eukaryota; Metazoa; Arthropoda; Insecta; Hymenoptera; Apidae
Exons: 2
Source: RefSeq, a predicted model, not a curated record
UUUCCCAGCGGGGAAAAUGGAAUUUUGCGCUAAUUAAAGUAUUGCGCUUUUGUACAAAAUUCCAUUGUUUUCUGUUGCCCGCGAAAAUGCAAUUUUACGACGGACAUUUCAGACAAAUUUCCAUCAGACGGCUUUCCAUCCGUAAAAAAGAAUGCUAUCUACAAAAGUGUCAAUGGAAAUUGAUCAAAGUAUCGUCAAGCAAACCCGUUUAAACAGCGAGGAUUUUCCGGAUUCACAGACACGAAGCUCGAAUUAUUCCUGAUCGACCACCACUUUUCGUUUUUCGGCUGAAACAUCACAUGCUGGCCAUUCGUCAGCGGCUGAACGAAGAACGAUCUCUGCCCGAUCAUCAUCAAGGCGUACACUUCUUCUUCGCAUAUCGUCACGACGACGAAGGAACUCGCGUCUCCUUCCAAGCUGCCUUGUCGAAGAUCGCAGUUCGCCUUGGCGUUACGUCGCUCGGACUUGGUUUUACCCUGGCGCACCCAAUUCACGGUGAAAUUCGACGACAGUAUCAAUCGAUCGUUGGCCAUGGUCCUUAAGGUCCAGUUGCUGAUCUCGAGGAACACCGGUUCUUGGUGGAGAUACUCGCGCCAAGUUUCUCGGUCUUCGUGGGUCGAUCUUCUGUUCCGCGCGCUCUCAUUCGGGAUCACUCGAGGGUAAACGAUCUCGUACUCCUGCAAGCUUUGCAGAAAGUCGCUCAUUCGCGACUUAGUAGCGAUCGUGCCGAGCAGCCACGUGG